Rhodamnia argentea is the source of this 445-nucleotide long non-coding RNA. RefSeq lists it as uncharacterized. The transcript is spliced from 3 exons. The record is from RefSeq and is a predicted model, not a curated record. Lineage: Eukaryota; Viridiplantae; Streptophyta; Magnoliopsida; Myrtales; Myrtaceae.
UUCGUUCCUUUGGGGACAGAGGAUGCAAUUGAGGGUUUCCGCUAAAGCGUGAGCUUCAACCACAAGGGCCGAUGAGGCAGCUACAGAUCUCGCGCCACCGCUGACCAAUUGGUCGACCGAAUCACGACAAACCCACGCUAUCGAGCCUUCCGACGCUCUAGGUACGUAAGUCCCAUCAAUAUUUACCUUAAAGUUGCGAUUUUUGGGAGCUUUCCAGGAAGUUGAGGGGUUUCCUUCUUCGGAUCCAGAUCUGCUAGCUUUUCCGUUCCAUUUUUUAAAGCUUUUCAGCGAGAUGAGGGCCGUCUCAACAACCUUGUCGGGGUUGGUUGGCUUUUGAUUGAAAAUAGCUGUAUUUCGUGUUUUCCACACACUCCACAAAACCGAGGCUACCUUAGCCAGAUCUAGUGCGUUUUUCCUGUGCUUCGAUAAGGGGGCUCGGGUGGCU